CGAGCAAUAGCUCAGUGGUAGAGCUCCCGCUUCAUAUGCGGGAUCCGCAGAUAUUGCAGUUCUUUUUAAAAUAGUACGAAAAGUUGUUCAU
RNAcentral lists this transfer RNA (91 nucleotides) under Toxocara canis (dog roundworm). The record is from Rfam by way of RNAcentral. Lineage: Eukaryota; Metazoa; Nematoda; Chromadorea; Rhabditida; Toxocaridae.